This 85-nucleotide transfer RNA is filed under the name bacterium. RNAcentral describes it as "tRNA-Leu". It matches the Rfam family "tRNA". From Rfam's summary of the family: Transfer RNA (tRNA) molecules are approximately 80 nucleotides in length. RNAcentral also lists the same sequence under 4 other names. The record is from RNAcentral.
GCCGGCGUGGCGAAAUGGCAGACGCAAGGGACUUAAAAUCCCUUAUUCCGAAAGGAGUGUGCGGGUUCGAGUCCCGCCGCCGGCA